Molecule: ribosomal RNA, 301 nt
Filed under: uncultured bacterium
Lineage: Bacteria
Description: partial 16S ribosomal RNA
Rfam family: Bacterial small subunit ribosomal RNA
Source: RNAcentral
CAGUAGCCGCGGUAAUACGAAGGGUGCAAGCGUUAAUCGGAAUUACUGGGCGUAAAGCGUGCGUAGGCGGUGAGUUAAGUCUGCUGUGAAAUCCCCGGGCUCAACCUGGGAAUGGCAGUGGAUACUGGCUCGCUAGAGUGUGUCAGAGGAUGGUGGAAUUCCCGGUGUAGCAAUGAAAUGCGUAGAGAUCGGGAGGAACAUCAGUGGCGAAGGCGGCCAUCUGGGACAACACUGACGCUGAGGCACGAAAGCGUGGGGAGCAAACAGGAUUAGAUACCCGCGUAGUCCCUGUCUCUUAUAC